Molecule: ribosomal RNA, 464 nt
Filed under: Filarioidea sp.
Lineage: Eukaryota; Metazoa; Nematoda; Chromadorea; Rhabditida
Description: partial small subunit ribosomal RNA
Source: RNAcentral
UACAUUUUAAUUUUUAACUCUAAUUGUUGUAAUGUCUUUCUUUUUUUGUAAUUUUUAUGUUAUUUUUGUAAAAUAUUUUAAUUUUUUUUGUUUUUGGAAGAUAUUGAAAAUUUGUUAUUUGAACUGGAUUAGUACCCAGGUAAUCAAAAUUUAUUAAUUCGGGAGUAAAGUUUUGUUUAAACCGAAAAAAUAUUGACUGACUUUAGAUUUUUCUUUGGAACAUGUGUAUGGAGAGCCCUCUUUUUUAGUGAACUUUGUUGGCACAUGUAUGAUUGUUUAGUUUUUAUAUUUUUUUGUAAUGCUAAUAAGAUUAAUUGUAAAAACAGAUAUAUAUUUGGCUUAUGGGUUUGUUAAUCAUGUGUUACUAUUAUUAAUUUUUUUUGGAUUAAAUUUUUAUUUUUUUUUGAAAUUGGAAAAGAAAGUAAUUGAUUUUUUAAUGUGUUAAUGAAUUUAAUAAAUAAAGU